CUUGCAGGUUGGACAACGGAGGACAAGCCCAGCCAAGGGUGGUCCAGCCCCCGGAGGCCGGUGCUGCAGGGUGGGGAGGGAGGGGUGCCCAAUAUUCAAGACAGACCCUUUGGGGGUCCCUGGAAGACCGAAAGCAGCAAGAACAACACCUCCAAUCAGCGGUUUCUCCAACUGCCUGGACCUCAAGCCAGCCUCCAAAGCCAAGGGGUGGGGGGGUCAUUUUUGUGCCAGGAACAACCUGUGCCCCCCCCCCCAGCCAGAGUUUGGCCACUUCCAUGCCCGCAUCCUGGACUUCCUGGGCCUUGGCCAGCCCCCUCAAAGCCACCCCAAGACCAUCCCUGCCCUUUCGCCCUCUCUGACGGACACGGAGCUGCGCUGGGCAGCCUGGGUUUUACCAGGCGCCGGGACGGUUUUUUGGAGACGAGAAUUUUGGGGCGCGCAAAGAAACUCCCCCUCCUGGAGGACCCUUUGCUCAGCGGGGCGUUUGGGGGUGACUCGGAAGGGACCUGUUGUGCACUCCAAACCUUUCAGCUCCCGUCCCUUUUGGGGAACCCCUGAAAUCCCAGGGGGGACGCCGGGCGCGGAAGAGGGAAGCUGCAUCCAUCAGGGGGACCGGCGGCUGGCUGCUCUUCCCUCCUUUUGGGGGGUCCCCAAUUCUGCACACACAGCCCCCCUCUCUUGUACAGGCUCGGGGAGGGGGGUCUCUUGCCAGCAACUGCCCACCUGGAAGAUGGACACACGGGCAGCGGCAUCUUGGUACAAGCACCGCAGCGACGCAGAGGGGGGGUACCCAGACUGUGGCUGGCAGGGUGGGGUGGGGGGCUUCUGUCUGCCCCCCACCUUCCUCCUGGUGGACCGGGAGAGAAAGCCCCACUUUUCAUGGGCGCUGUGAAAAAGGGACAGGCGCCACCCUUUUCAGCCGAUGUAUUAUUAUUAUUAUUAUUGUUAUUAUUAUUUUGGGGGUCUUCUUUUUUGUAAUCAGAAUAAAAUUCUCAGAAGGAA
Molecule: long non-coding RNA, 1002 nt
Filed under: Notechis scutatus (mainland tiger snake)
Lineage: Eukaryota; Metazoa; Chordata; Lepidosauria; Squamata; Elapidae
Description: lncRNA (ENSNSUG00000000396.1)
Source: RNAcentral